RNAcentral lists this non-coding RNA (29 nucleotides) under Mus musculus (house mouse). The record is from RNAcentral. Lineage: Eukaryota; Metazoa; Chordata; Mammalia; Rodentia; Muridae.
UUUUAACCACGUUCUUUAAGGUUUGUAGA